Molecule: long non-coding RNA, 402 nt
Organism: Herpailurus yagouaroundi (jaguarundi)
Lineage: Eukaryota; Metazoa; Chordata; Mammalia; Carnivora; Felidae
Exons: 3
Source: RefSeq, a predicted model, not a curated record
UCCGCCUCCACUUUGGAGGCAGGAUCGAGGCGAAAUCUGUAAGGUCUUUCCGGUGCCACAAGUGUCGCCAUCUUGGUUCUUGAUGGUGAAAUCCCUUCCUUGAGACUACAGCAUCAGCAUCCCUUUGUUUGAAAUGCAGAAUCUCAGGCUCCACCCCAGAAGUCAGAAUCUACAUUCUGAAGAGAUCCCUUUUAAAGUUUGAGAAACACUGCCCUAGAAGACUGAUUUCACAGACAACACAACCUGAGGAGACAAGUAUCAAGUCCAAUAGGAUUUUGCAUCAAACCAAAGAGGGGUCCUAGGAACUAAAUGGAGAGACAAGUCUACCUAGCUCCACUCUCAAAAGGCUGGAAACCCUUCUGGGGACAAUAUGAAGUAUACCAAAGCCUCGGGGUCUCCUCC